GAUGAACGCUGGCGGCGUGCCUAAUACAUGCAAGUCGAGCGAACGGACGAGAAGCUUGCUUCUCUGAUGUUAGCGGCGGACGGGUGAGUAACACGUGGAUAACCUACCUAUAAGACUGGGAUAACUUCGGGAAACCGUAGCUAAUACCGGAUAAUAUUUUGAACCGCAUGGUUCAAAAGUGAAAGACGGUCUUGCUGUCACUUAUAGAUGGAUCCGCGCUGCAUUAGCUAGUUGGUAAGGUAACGGCUUACCAAGGCAACGAUGCAUAGCCGACCUGAGAGGGUGAUCGGCCACACUGGAACUGAGACACGGUCCAGACUCCUACGGGAGGCAGCAGUAGGGAAUCUUCCGCAAUGGGCGAAAGCCUGACAGAGCAACGCCGCGUGAGUGAUGAAGGUCUUCGGAUCGUAAAACUCUGUUAUUAGGGAAGAACAUAUGUGUAAGUAACUGUGCACAUCUUGACGGUACCUAAUCAGAAAGCCACGGCUAACUACGUG
Molecule: ribosomal RNA, 497 nt
Filed under: uncultured bacterium
Lineage: Bacteria
Description: partial 16S ribosomal RNA
Rfam family: Bacterial small subunit ribosomal RNA
Source: RNAcentral